Setomelanomma holmii is the source of this 87-nucleotide non-coding RNA. Lineage: Eukaryota; Fungi; Ascomycota; Dothideomycetes; Pleosporales; Phaeosphaeriaceae. The record is from the annotation of a GenBank genome assembly.
GGCCUUAUGGCGCAACGGUAGCGCGUCAGAUUCCAGUCCAGCACCGGAACAUCCUGAAGGUUUUGCGUUCGAAUCGCAAUAGGGUCA